GCGGCCUUUGGGCGAGCGGGUUCGAGCGGCGGAAUCCACGAACCGAGGGGAGGGUUAGUAGACUGGGCCUCCCAACGUCCCGGCCGGCCAGCCGCAGGCUUUCUGGUGUUGGACUACAUUUCCCAGAGCCGCCGCGUCCCCAAUGCGGCUUCAUUUCCGUUUGUUCGUGCGAUUUGGGGGCCUCGCGUGGGGAGGGCAGCGUCUGGAGGAGCUUGGCCCGGCUCCCGUUGGGCGGGCGAACCCGAAAUCGGGGCUUGGACCCCAGGCGCCAGAUCCUGGAUCCUGAACUGCAGCUUCUGUCCAGAGCCCAGAAGAGGAAAAAAUGGCUGUUACACAUUCAAAACCAAAGUCCAAGCUCUGCCUUUUUCAGACUGUGUGCUUCUCUAAGAUAGGAAUCCAGAGGAGGAUUGAUCAUUUCUUGGAGCACUAAAAACCAUGGCUCAGAGAUCAGUGAUGUUCAGGGAUGUUGCCAUUGACUUCUCUCAGGAAGAGUGGGAAUGCCUGGACUCUGCUCAAAGGGAUUUGUAUAGAGAUGUGAUGUUGGAGAACUAUAGUAACUUGGUGUCACUAGUAGGUAAGGAAAUGUACCCCUAGUAUUUCAGGAUCUACCUUUGGAAUGGCUGCUUUCUUCGAUUGUUUUUAAGUAACUGAAUUGCCUCUUAUUAUUCUCAAAGGAAUGAGAAUAUUUCAAUUACUGGAAAUAGUAAUAUUUCAUAGGGCAUAUUUGCUUUCUCCAUUUUCCAGUGUAAUUAUCGCUCUUCUUUCUCUCUUAUUUGAUAAGCAAGGGGCUAGAUUUGAAUUCUGGGACACUUACAAUAUUGUCAGGAAAAACAGGCUAUGCAUUGUUACAAUUUAGAUAUGCUAAAGGAG
Molecule: long non-coding RNA, 870 nt
Filed under: Panthera leo (lion)
Lineage: Eukaryota; Metazoa; Chordata; Mammalia; Carnivora; Felidae
Description: lncRNA (ENSPLOG00000010442.1)
Source: RNAcentral